Molecule: ribosomal RNA, 245 nt
Filed under: uncultured Mucilaginibacter sp.
Lineage: Bacteria; Pseudomonadati; Bacteroidota; Sphingobacteriia; Sphingobacteriales; Sphingobacteriaceae
Description: partial 16S ribosomal RNA
Rfam family: Bacterial small subunit ribosomal RNA
Source: RNAcentral
UACGGAGGAUCCAAGCGUUAUCCGGAUUUAUUGGGUUUAAAGGGUGCGUAGGCGGCUAGUUAAGUCAGGGGUGAAAGACGGUAGCUCAACUAUCGCAGUGCCUUUGAUACUGAAUGGCUUGAAUGGACUAGAGGUAGGCGGAAUGUGACAAGUAGCGGUGAAAUGCAUAGAUAUGUCACAGAACACCAAUUGCGAAGGCAGCUUACUAAAGUGUGAUUGACGCUGAGGCACGAAAGCGUGGGGAU